GAUGAACGCUGGCGGCGUGCCUAAUACAUGCAAGUCGAGCGAACAGACGAGGAGCUUGCUCCUCUGACGUUAGCGGCGGACGGGUGAGUAACACGUGGAUAACCUACCUAUAAGACUGGGAUAACUUCGGGAAACCGGAGCUAAUACCGGAUAAUAUAUUGAACCGCAUGGUUCAAUAGUGAAAGACGGUUUUGCUGUCACUUAUAGAUGGAUCCGCGCCGCAUUAGCUAGUUGGUAAGGUAACGGCUUACCAAGGCAACGAUGCGUAGCCGACCUGAGAGGGUGAUAGGCCACACUGGAACUGAGACACGGACCAGACUCCUACGGGAGGCAGCAGUAGGGAAUCUUCCGCAAUGGGCGAAAGCCUGACGGAGCAACGCCGCGUGAGUGAUGAAGGUCUUCGGAUCGUAAAACUCUGUUAUUAGGGAAGAACAAAUGUGUAAGUAACUAUGCACGUCUUGACGGUACCUAAUCAGAAAGCCACGGCUAACUACGUG
RNAcentral lists this ribosomal RNA (497 nucleotides) under uncultured bacterium. RNAcentral describes it as "partial 16S ribosomal RNA". It matches the Rfam family "Bacterial small subunit ribosomal RNA", at positions 28 to 507 of the family's 1533-position model. The record is from RNAcentral.